AGCCGGGUCGUCUAGCGGCCAAGGAUGCGGGGUUUUGGCCCCCGUGACCGGGGUUCGAAUCCCCGCCCGGCUACCA
This 76-nucleotide transfer RNA is filed under the name Sulfolobales archaeon. RNAcentral describes it as "tRNA-Gln". It matches the Rfam family "tRNA". From Rfam's summary of the family: Transfer RNA (tRNA) molecules are approximately 80 nucleotides in length. Their secondary structure includes four short double-helical elements and three loops (D, anti-codon, and T loops). RNAcentral also lists the same sequence under 2 other names. Lineage: Archaea; Thermoproteati; Thermoproteota; Thermoprotei; Sulfolobales. The record is from RNAcentral.